RNAcentral lists this ribosomal RNA (500 nucleotides) under uncultured bacterium. Its description in RNAcentral is "bacterial SSU rRNA". It matches the Rfam family "Bacterial small subunit ribosomal RNA", at positions 29 to 501 of the family's 1533-position model. The record is from RNAcentral.
AACGAACGCUGGCGGCGUGGAUAAGACAUGCAAGUCGAACGCUGAUUCGUGGAUAGCAAUAUUUGCGAGUCGGAGUGGCGCAAGGGUGCGUAACACGUGGGUAAUUUGCCGCGAAGAUCGGAAUAACCUGCUGAAAGGCGGGCUAAUGCCGAAUGUGUCUACCGGGGGGAUUCCUCUGGUAUGCAAAGUUGGGGACCGAAAGGCCUAACGCUUCGUGAUAAGCCCGCGGCCUAUCAGCUAGUUGGUGGGGUAACGGCUCACCAAGGCUAAGACGGGUAGCUGGUCUGAGAGGACGACCAGCCACACUGGAACUGAGACACGGUCCAGACACCUACGGGUGGCAGCAGUCGAGAAUUUUUCACAAUGGGCGAAAGCCUGAUGGAGCGACGCCGCGUGGGGGAUGAAGGGCUUCGGCUCGUAAACCCCUGUCAUUCGAGAACAAACCUCGCAACCUAACACGUUGCGGGCUGAUAGUAUCGGAAGAGGAAGGGACGGCUAAC